GAAAUUCAUAUUGAGUGCAAUGAGACAGAAGUGGAAUUUCAAAUCACAAGUGUGGACUGAAGAAGGAUUCUGUGAAAAGUCCCAGGGCUGGAAAGAUGAGGAAAGUGAGGCCCAGAGCUAUUAAGAAAUUGCCUGAGCUCAUGAAGCUGAUACAUGCAGCUGCUGAAGCACA
Molecule: long non-coding RNA, 172 nt
Organism: Lemur catta (Ring-tailed lemur)
Lineage: Eukaryota; Metazoa; Chordata; Mammalia; Primates; Lemuridae
Exons: 3
Source: RefSeq, a predicted model, not a curated record